AGAGGGUGCAAGCGUUAAUCGGAAUUACUAGGCGUAAAGGGCGUGUAGGCGGAUAUGCAAGUCAGAUGUGAAAUACCUGGGGCUCAACCGAGGAUGGUCAUUUGAAACUGCAUGUCUAGAGUACAAUAGAGGGGAGUGGAAUUUCCGGUGUAGCGGUGAAAUGCGUAGAUAUCGGAAGGAACACCAGUGGCGAAGGCGGCUCCCUGGAUCGAUACUGACGCUGAGGCGCGAAAGCGUGGGGAGCGAACAGGAUUAGAUACCCUGGUAGUCCACGCCGUAAACGAUGAGAACUAGCUGUAGGGGCCUUCGGGUCUUUGUGGCGUAGCUAACGCGCUAAGUUCUCCGCCUGGGGAGUACGGCCGCAAGGCUA
This 370-nucleotide ribosomal RNA is filed under the name uncultured organism. RNAcentral's name for it is "partial 16S ribosomal RNA". It matches the Rfam family "Bacterial small subunit ribosomal RNA", at positions 527 to 896 of the family's 1533-position model. The record is from RNAcentral.